UCAAACUUGGUCAUUUAGAGGAAGUAAAAGUCGUAACAAGGUUUCCGUAGGUGAACCUGCGGAAGGAUCAUUGCAGUAGUCUCGGGGGGGACUCCCGAUGCCGGUCUCGGUAGAGACAUGUGCUCGUCCCCCUCGUUCUGUCAUAUACACACACACACCUGUGCACCUUGACGGGGGGAGGGAGGGGACACACGUACGCGAACUCGCGUAUUCUGCCUCCUCACCAUCCUGUCAUAUAUCCCACGCCUGUUUCUAUGCAUGUCCUCUUUACGGGCCCUUAUAAAGGGCUCGAAGGAAAAACUUGAUAACUUUCAACAACGGAUCUCUUGGCUUUCGCAUCGAUGAAGAACGCAGC
Molecule: unclassified non-coding RNA, 355 nt
Filed under: uncultured fungus
Lineage: Eukaryota; Fungi
Description: partial contains small subunit ribosomal RNA, internal transcribed spacer 1, and 5.8S ribosomal RNA
Rfam family: Eukaryotic small subunit ribosomal RNA (bases 1-73)
Source: RNAcentral